CAGUCGCCGCGGGAAUGCGGAGGGGGCUAGCGUUGUUCGGAAUUACUGGGCGUAAAGCGCACGUAGGCGGCUUGGUAAGUUAGAGGUGAAAGCCUGGAGCUCAACUCCAGAAUUGCCUUUAAGACUGCCGAGCUAGCAGGUGAGAGAGGUAAGUGGAAUUCCGAGUGUAGAGGUGAAAUUCGUAGAGAUGUGGAGGAACAUCUGUGGCGAAGGCGACUAUCUGGGCCAACACUGACGCUGAGGCACGAAAGCGUGGGGAGCAAACAGGAUUAGAUACCCCGGUAGUCCCUGUCUCUUAUAC
Molecule: ribosomal RNA, 301 nt
Filed under: uncultured bacterium
Lineage: Bacteria
Description: partial 16S ribosomal RNA
Rfam family: Bacterial small subunit ribosomal RNA
Source: RNAcentral